GAUGAACGCUGGCGGCGUGCCUAAUACAUGCAAGUCGAGCGAACAGACGAGGAGCUUGCUCCUCUGACGUUAGCGGCGGACGGGUGAGUAACACGUGGAUAACCUACCUAUAAGACUGGGAUAACUUCGGGAAACCGGAGCUAAUACCGGAUAAUAUAUUGAACCGCAUGGUUCAAUAGUGAAAGACGGUUUUGCUGUCACUUAUAGAUGGAUCCGCGCCGCAUUAGCUAGUUGGUAAGGUAACGGCUUACCAAGGCGACGAUGCGUAGCCGACCUGAGAGGGUGAUCGGCCACACGGGAACUGAGACACGGUCCAGACUCCUACGGGAGGAAGCAGUAGGGAAUCUUCCGCAAUGGGCGAAAGCCUGACGGAGCAACGCCGCGUGAGUGAUGAAGGUCUUCGGAUCGUAAAGCUCUGUUAUUAGGGAAGAACAAAUGUGUAAGUAACUAUGCACGUCUUGACGGUACCUAAUCAGAAAGCCACGGCUAACUACGUG
Molecule: ribosomal RNA, 497 nt
Filed under: uncultured bacterium
Lineage: Bacteria
Description: partial 16S ribosomal RNA
Rfam family: Bacterial small subunit ribosomal RNA
Source: RNAcentral